GUGAGGAAUAUUGCACAAUGGGCGAAAGCCUGAUGCAGCAACGCCGCGUGAGUGAUGAAGGCCUUUGGGUCGUAAAACUCUGUCCUUGGGGAAGAAAAAAAUGACGGUACCCUUGGAGGAAGCCCCGGCUAACUACGUGCCAGCAGCCGCGGUAAUACGUAGGGGGCGAGCGUUAUCCGGAAUUAUUGGGCGUAAAGAGUGCGUAGGUGGUUUUGUAAGCGUAGGGUGAAAGGCAGUAGCUCAACUAUUGUUAGCCCUGCGAACUGUGAGACUUGAGUGCAGGAGAGGAAAGUGGAAUUCCUAGUGUAGCGGUGAAAUGCGUAGAUAUUAGGAGGAACACCAGUGGCGAAGGCGACUUUCUGGACUGUAACUGACACUGAGGCACGAAAGCGUGGGUAGCAAACAGGAUUAGAAACCCGAGUAGUCC
This 427-nucleotide ribosomal RNA is filed under the name uncultured bacterium. RNAcentral's name for it is "partial 16S ribosomal RNA". It matches the Rfam family "Bacterial small subunit ribosomal RNA", at positions 354 to 796 of the family's 1533-position model. The record is from RNAcentral.